GAAUAUAGGAUCUUCCUCAGCAUCAGUAAUUUCUUUGGAAAGAAUUGGGGAGAAAGAAGAUAUACAUCUUUAAAAGGAAAUUGUCACUACCUCGCUAACCCAACUCUACAAAUAUACCUGACUUCACAGUACCCAAGCAAAGACAGAAUACAUAAUUUUUAAAUCUCCCACUUUCUCUAGGACAGAAAAAUGUAUGAGAAAGGGAAAGACAAAAGCCCUAUCAAAAGCUUAUGGUGACUUGGUUAAAGAAGGUUGCAGGCACUGUGGUAAGAGUUUGGAUGGGUGAAACAUAAUCGUUUGUUUUGUAAUAUGAGGUAAGUUUGGUUGUGAGAUGGGGAAGUGGGAAAGGAAAACCAAACUGAAGCCCUGACCACAGACUUAUUCUAGGCAGAUCAAUUUUAGCAAAAAAUAGAGAAAAUGAAAAUGGAUUUUCUUAUAUCUUUUACUGCCUAUGAAGUUCUUGGAAAACUAUCAUGGAUUCUUAUAGGCACAUGUACCCAGUUGACUAAUUUUUGGUGUAGAUGCUCAAAAACAUUAAAAGUAGCAGUAAAUUUU
This 555-nucleotide long non-coding RNA is filed under the name Homo sapiens (human). Its description in RNAcentral is "non-protein coding lnc-BHLHE22-2:1". Lineage: Eukaryota; Metazoa; Chordata; Mammalia; Primates; Hominidae. The record is from RNAcentral.